UGAGUAACACGUGAGUAACCUGCCCUUGACUCUGGGAUAAGCCUGGGAAACUGGGUCUAAUACCGGAUAUGACCUUCCAUCGCAUGGUGGUUGGUGGAAAGCUUUUGUGGUUUUGGAUGGACUCGCGGCCUAUCAGCUUGUUGGUGGGGUAAUGGCCUACCAAGGCGACGACGGGUAGCCGGCCUGAGAGGGUGACCGGCCACACUGGGACUGAGACACGGCCCAGACUCCUACGGGAGGCAGCAGUGGGGAAUAUUGCACAAUGGGCGAAAGCCUGAUGCAGCGACGCCGCGUGAGGGAUGACGGCCUUCGGGUUGUAAACCUCUUUCAGUAGGGAAGAAGCGUAAGUGACGGUACCUGCAGAAGAAGCGCCGGCUAACUACGUGCCAGCAGCCGCGGUAAUACGUAGGGCGCAAGCGUUAUCCGGAAUUAUUGGGCGUAAAGAGCUCGUAGGCGGUUUGUCGCGUCUGCCGUGAAAGUCCGGGGCUCAACUCCGGAUCUGCGGUGGGUACGGGCAGACUAGAGUGAUGUAGGGGAGACUGGAAUUCCUGGUGUAGCGGUGAAAUGCGCAGAUAUCAGGAGGAACACCGAUGGCGAAGGCAGGUCUCUGGGCAUUAACUGACGCUGAGGAGCGAAAGCAUGGGGAGCGAACAGGAUUAGAUACCCUGGUAGUCCAUGCCGUAAACGUUGGGCACUAGGUGUGGGGGACAUUCCACGUUUUCCGCGCCGUAGCUAACGCAUUAAGUGCCCCGCCUGGGGAGUACGGCCGCAAGGCUAAAACUCAAAGGAAUUGACGGGGGCCCGCACAAGCGGCGGAGCAUGCGGAUUAAUUCGAUGCAACGCGAAGAACCUUACCAAGGCUUGACAUGAACCGGACCGCUGCAGAAAUGUGGUUUCCCCUUUGGGGCUGGUUUACAGGUGGUGCAUGGUUGUCGUCAGCUCGUGUCGUGAGAUGUUGGGUUAAGUCCCGCAACGAGCGCAACCCUCGUUCUAUGUUGCCAGCACGUGAUGGUGGGGACUCAUAGGAGACUGCCGGGGUCAACUCGGAGGAAGGUGGGGACGACGUCAAAUCAUCAUGCCCCUUAUGUCUUGGGCUUCACGCAUGCUACAAUGGCCGGUACAAAGGGUUGCGAUACUGUGAGGUGGAGCUAAUCCCAAAAAGCCGGUCUCAGUUCGGAUUGGGGUCUGCAACUCGACCCCAUGAAGUCGG
RNAcentral lists this ribosomal RNA (1210 nucleotides) under Arthrobacter sp. RNAcentral's name for it is "bacterial SSU rRNA". It matches the Rfam family "Bacterial small subunit ribosomal RNA", at positions 107 to 1329 of the family's 1533-position model. Lineage: Bacteria; Bacillati; Actinomycetota; Actinomycetes; Micrococcales; Micrococcaceae. The record is from RNAcentral.